UACGGAGGUGGCGAGCGUUGUCCGGAUUUACUGGGCGUAAAGGGAGCGUAGGCGGACUUUUAAGUGAGAUGUGAAAUACUCGGGCUCAACUUGAGUGCUGCAUUUCAAACUGGAAGUCUAGAGUGCAGGAGAGGAGAAUGGAAUUCCUAGUGCAGCGGUGAAAUGCGUAGAGAUUAGGAAGAACACCAGUGGCGAAGGCGAUUCUCUGGACUGUAACUGACGCUGAGGCUCGAAAGCGUGGGGAGCAAACAGG
RNAcentral lists this ribosomal RNA (253 nucleotides) under uncultured bacterium. Its description in RNAcentral is "partial 16S ribosomal RNA". It matches the Rfam family "Bacterial small subunit ribosomal RNA", at positions 524 to 776 of the family's 1533-position model. The record is from RNAcentral.